RNAcentral lists this ribosomal RNA (465 nucleotides) under uncultured Treponema sp. RNAcentral describes it as "bacterial SSU rRNA". It matches the Rfam family "Bacterial small subunit ribosomal RNA", at positions 338 to 795 of the family's 1533-position model. The record is from RNAcentral. Lineage: Bacteria; Pseudomonadati; Spirochaetota; Spirochaetia; Treponematales; Treponemataceae.
CCUACGGGCGGCAGCAGCUAAGAAUAUUCCGCAAUGGACGGAAGUCUGACGGAGCGACGCCGCGUGGAUGAAGAAGGCUGAAAAGUUGUAAAAUCCUUUUGCUGAUGAAGAAUAAGGGUAGGAGGGAAUGCCUAUCUGAUGACGGUAAUCGGCGAAUAAGCCCCGGCUAAUUACGUGCCAGCAGCCGCGGUAACACGUAAGGGGCGAGCGUUGUUCGGAAUUAUUGGGCGUAAAGGGCAUGUAGGCGGUUAUGUAAGCCUGAUGUGAAAUGCUGGGGCUCAACUCCAGAACUGCAUUGGGUACUGCAUAGCUUGAAUUACGGAAGGGAAACUGGAAUUCCAAGUGUAGGGGUGGAAUCUGUAGAUAUUUGGAAGAACACCGGUGGCGAAGGCGGGUUUCUGGCCGAUAAUUGACGCUGAGAUGCGAAAGUGUGGGGAUCGAACAGGAUUAGAUACCCGGGUAGUC